This 1061-nucleotide ribosomal RNA is filed under the name Latilactobacillus sakei. RNAcentral's name for it is "bacterial SSU rRNA". It matches the Rfam family "Bacterial small subunit ribosomal RNA", at positions 44 to 1063 of the family's 1533-position model. Lineage: Bacteria; Bacillati; Bacillota; Bacilli; Lactobacillales; Lactobacillaceae. The record is from RNAcentral.
GGGGCCUAUACAUGCAAGUCGAACGCACUCUCGUUUAGAUUGAAGGAGCUUGCUCCUGAUUGAUAAACAUUUGAGUGAGUGGCGGACGGGUGAGUAACACGUGGGUAACCUGCCCUAAAGUGGGGGAUAACAUUUGGAAACAGAUGCUAAUACCGCAUAAAACCUAACACCGCAUGGUGUAGGGUUGAAAGAUGGUUUCGGCUAUCACUUUAGGAUGGACCCGCGGUGCAUUAGUUAGUUGGUGAGGUAAAGGCUCACCAAGACCGUGAUGCAUAGCCGACCUGAGAGGGUAAUCGGCCACACUGGGACUGAGACACGGCCCAGACUCCUACGGGAGGCAGCAGUAGGGAAUCUUCCACAAUGGACGAAAGUCUGAUGGAGCAACGCCGCGUGAGUGAAGAAGGUUUUCGGAUCGUAAAACUCUGUUGUUGGAGAAGAAUGUAUCUGAUAGUAACUGAUCAGGUAGUGACGGUAUCCAACCAGAAAGCCACGGCUAACUACGUGCCAGCAGCCGCGGUAAUACGUAGGUGGCAAGCGUUGUCCGGAUUUAUUGGGCGUAAAGCGAGCGCAGGCGGUUUCUUAAGUCUGAUGUGAAAGCCUUCGGCUCAACCGAAGAAGUGCAUCGGAAACUGGGAAACUUGAGUGCAGAAGAGGACAGUGGAACUCCAUGUGUAGCGGUGAAAUGCGUAGAUAUAUGGAAGAACACCAGUGGCGAAGGCGGCUGUCUGGUCUGUAACUGACGCUGAGGCUCGAAAGCAUGGGUAGCAAACAGGAUUAGAUACCCUGGUAGUCCAUGCCGUAAACGAUGAGUGCUAGGUGUUGGAGGGUUUCCGCCCUUCAGUGCCGCAGCUAACGCAUUAAGCACUCCGCCUGGGGAGUACGACCGCAAGGUUGAAACUCAAAGGAAUUGACGGGGGCCCGCACAAGCGGUGGAGCAGGUGGUUUAAUUCGAAGCAACGCGAAGAACCUUACCAGGUCUUGACAUCCUUUGACCACUCUAGAGAUAGAGCUUUCCCUUCGGGGACAAAGUGACAGGUGGUGCAUGGUUGUCGUCAGCUCGG